AGCCCUAUGGUGUAGUUAACAUAUUAGGUUGCAAACCUGAGGACGCAGAGUAAUUUCUGCUGGGGCUU
RNAcentral lists this transfer RNA (68 nucleotides) under Lepidocephalichthys hasselti. RNAcentral describes it as "tRNA-Cys". It matches the Rfam family "tRNA". Rfam says of the family: Transfer RNA (tRNA) molecules are approximately 80 nucleotides in length. Their secondary structure includes four short double-helical elements and three loops (D, anti-codon, and T loops). Lineage: Eukaryota; Metazoa; Chordata; Actinopteri; Cypriniformes; Cobitidae. The record is from RNAcentral.